Molecule: ribosomal RNA, 468 nt
Filed under: uncultured bacterium
Lineage: Bacteria
Description: partial 16S ribosomal RNA
Rfam family: Bacterial small subunit ribosomal RNA
Source: RNAcentral
GACGAACGCUGGCGGCGUGCUUAACACAUGCAAGUCGAACGGAAAGGCCCUGCUUUUGUGGGGUGCUCGAGUGGCGAACGGGUGAGUAACACGUGAGUAACCUGCCCUUGACUUUGGGAUAACUUCAGGAAACUGGGGCUAAUACCGGAUAGGAGCUCCUGCUGCAUGGUGGGGGUUGGAAAGUUUCGGCGGUUGGGGAUGGACUCGCGGCUUAUCAGCUUGUUGGUGGGGUAGUGGCUUACCAAGGCUUUGACGGGUAGCCGGCCUGAGAGGGUGACCGGCAACAUUGGGACUGAGAUACGGCCCAGACUCCUACGGGAGGCAGCAGUGGGGAAUAUUGCACAAUGGGCGGAAGCCUGAUGCAGCAACGCCGCGUGCGGGAUGACGGCCUUCGGGUUGUAAACCGCUUUCGCCUGUGACGAAGCGUGAGUGACGGUAAUGGGUAAAGAAGCACCGGCUAACUACGCG